Molecule: transfer RNA, 72 nt
Filed under: Aedes aegypti (yellow fever mosquito)
Lineage: Eukaryota; Metazoa; Arthropoda; Insecta; Diptera; Culicidae
Description: partial tRNA-OTHER
Source: RNAcentral
CUACCUGGCGGGAUUUGAACCCACGAUUAUUGGAUGCUAGACGAGUACUAAGACCAACUAAGCUACUGAGUA